This 255-nucleotide ribosomal RNA is filed under the name uncultured bacterium. Its description in RNAcentral is "partial 16S ribosomal RNA". It matches the Rfam family "Bacterial small subunit ribosomal RNA", at positions 524 to 776 of the family's 1533-position model. The record is from RNAcentral.
UACGAAGGGGGCUAGCGUUGCUCGGAAUGACUGGGCGUAAAGGGCGCGUAGGCGGUUUGUACAGUCAGAUGUGAAAUUCCUGGGCUCAACCUGGGGGGCUGCAUUUGAUACGUAUGGACUGGAGUGAGGAAGAGGGUCGUGGAAUUCCCAGUGUAGAGGUGAAAUUCGUAGAUAUCGGGAAGAACACCCGUGGCUAAGGCGGCUCUCUAGUACGGUACUGACGCUGAGACGCGAAAAGCGUGGGGAGCGAACAGG